GAUCUGUAGUGUAACGGUAACAGACCGGACCUUUAAUCCGUGAGAUGAGGGUUCAAAUCCCUCCGGAUCC
This 70-nucleotide transfer RNA is filed under the name uncultured Saccharofermentans sp. It matches the Rfam family "tRNA". From Rfam's summary of the family: Transfer RNA (tRNA) molecules are approximately 80 nucleotides in length. Their secondary structure includes four short double-helical elements and three loops (D, anti-codon, and T loops). Further hydrogen bonds mediate the characteristic L-shaped molecular structure. tRNAs have two regions of fundamental functional importance: the anti-codon, which is responsible for specific mRNA codon recognition, and the 3' end, to which the tRNAs corresponding amino acid is attached (by aminoacyl-tRNA synthetases). tRNAs cope with the degeneracy of the genetic code in two manners: having more than one tRNA (with a specific anti-codon) for a particular amino acid; and 'wobble' base-pairing, i.e. permitting non-standard base-pairing at the 3rd anti-codon position. The record is from RNAcentral. Lineage: Bacteria; Bacillati; Bacillota; Clostridia; Eubacteriales; Oscillospiraceae.